GCGGCUAAAGCGCUGUGUUCAGCUCAACCUCUCGUUGUCCAGCUCACUCCAAAAACAUUUUAGGUAAGAUACAACGAGUCAAACAAUAAAUAAUAAACUAGCGAAUGCCGCACAUCGGCGUGAGGAUAAAAAAAACGUUUUCUUAAGUUUCAAAUCGACACGAAAGGUAAACAAAUAGUAAGAGUUUAAUGAAAAUGUUUCGGUCUGUCCUGCUUCGCUCCUCCCAUUCCAACAGCGGCACCUUCUUCUUUAAAACCGAGUUUCAUUCGCGCUCGAGACGCGGGAUUUCAAUCUGUCCCGCUCACGCGACCAGCGCGCGCUUAUUCCAUAUCUCCUGUCAGAGAGACUCUCUCGUGAUCCAGCAAAUGAAACCUAACCCUGCGCCGAAAAUAAGCUUUCAGAUACGGGACAUGCAGUAGUAUGCCACUGUGAUGGAGUGAUUACAGAGGCAGGCAAGACACAACAGGCACACAUGGGUGUGUGAAGAAAGUGAGAGCGAUUUGGGGUCUUGAUGCAAUAAUCUCACAUAAUAUUUCUAAGUACAAAGGGAGCACAGUUUCUUUUGCAGUGACAAACAUCAUGGAUACAGACUGAAAGAGCCACUCUACCUUCUGGUCUGUACUGGGCAAUAAUGGUCACCGUCUGUCCAGCCCUCUUCAGUGCAGCAGCAGCCUGCUCAUGGGUAGCAUUGCGCAGGUUUACACCAUUCACCUGGGACAAUACCAUGCUCUCCGCUCAGGUCGGCUGGCCCACCUGCCAAGAUGAAAGACACGAAGAUGCCCUCUCCGUCCUCCCCGCCCACAAUGUUGAAUCCCAAACCUGUGGAACCCUUGUGCAGCAGGAUCUUCCGCGGCUCCCUGCCAAGC
Long non-coding RNA from Onychostoma macrolepis, 866 nucleotides. RefSeq lists it as uncharacterized. Lineage: Eukaryota; Metazoa; Chordata; Actinopteri; Cypriniformes; Cyprinidae. The transcript is spliced from 4 exons. The record is from RefSeq and is a predicted model, not a curated record.